RNAcentral lists this ribosomal RNA (468 nucleotides) under uncultured bacterium. RNAcentral's name for it is "partial 16S ribosomal RNA". It matches the Rfam family "Bacterial small subunit ribosomal RNA", at positions 28 to 507 of the family's 1533-position model. The record is from RNAcentral.
GACGAACGCUGGCGGCGUGCUUAACACAUGCAAGUCGAACGGAAAGGCCCUGCUUUUGUGGGGUGCUCGAGUGGCGAACGGGUGAGUAACACGUGAGUAACCUGCCCUUGACUUUGGGAUAACUUCAGGAAACUGGGGCUAAUACCGGAUAGGAGCUCCUGCUGCAUGGUGGGGGUUGGAAAGUUUCGGCGGUUGGGGAUGGACUCGCGGCUUAUCAGCUUGUUGGUGGGGUAGUGGCUUACCAAGGCUUUGACGGGUAGCCGGCCUGAGAGGGUGACCGGGCACAUGGGGACUGCGAGAGGGCCCAGACUGCAACGGGAGGCAGCAGUGGGGAAUAUUGCACAAUGGGCGGAAGCCUGAUGCAGCGGCGCCGCGUGCGGGAUGACGGCCUUCGGGUUGUAAACCGCUUUCGCCUGUGACGAAGCGUGAGUGACGGUAAUGGAUAAAGAAGCACCGGCUAACUACGUG